GUGGGGAAUAUUGCACAAUGGGCGCAAGCCUGAUGCAGCCAUGCCGCGUGUGUGAAGAAGGCCUUCGGGUUGUAAAGCACUUUCAGCGGGGAGGAAGGCGGUGAGGUUAAUAACCUCAUCGAUUGACGUUACCCGCAGAAGAAGCACCGGCUAACUCCGUGCCAGCAGCCGCGGUAAUACGGAGGGGGCAAGCGUUAAUCGGAAUUACUGGGCGUAAAGCGCACGCAGGCGGUCUGUCAAGUCGGAUGUGAAAUCCCCGGGCUCAACCUGGGAACUGCAUUCGAAACUGGCAGGCUAGAGUCUUGUAGAGGGGGGUAGAAUGCCAGGUGUAGCGGUGAAAUGCGUAGAGAUCUGGAGGAAUACCGGUGGCGAAGGCGGCCCCCUGGACAAAGACUGACGCUCAGGUGCGAAAGCGUGGGGAGCAAACAGGAUUAGAAACCCUGGUAGUCC
RNAcentral lists this ribosomal RNA (450 nucleotides) under uncultured bacterium. Its description in RNAcentral is "partial 16S ribosomal RNA". It matches the Rfam family "Bacterial small subunit ribosomal RNA", at positions 354 to 796 of the family's 1533-position model. The record is from RNAcentral.